This 394-nucleotide ribosomal RNA is filed under the name uncultured bacterium. Its description in RNAcentral is "partial 16S ribosomal RNA". It matches the Rfam family "Bacterial small subunit ribosomal RNA", at positions 523 to 918 of the family's 1533-position model. The record is from RNAcentral.
AUACGUAUGGGGCAAGCGUUAUCCGGAAUUAUUGGGCGUAAAGAGUGCGUAGGUGGUUACCUAAGCGCAAGGUUUAAUCUUGAGGCUCAACCUCAUUCUGCCUUGCGAACUGGGCUACUUGAGUGCAGGAGGGGAAAGCGGAAUUCCCGGUGUAGCGGUGAAAUGCGUAGAUAUUGGGAAGAACACCGGUGGCGAAGGCGGCUUUAUGGACUUAAAGUGACCCUGAGGCACGAAGGCGUAGGGAGCAAACAGGAUUAGAUACCCUGGUAUUCCACGCCGUAAACGAUGAGCACUAGUUGUUGGGUACGAAUGUAUUCAGUGACGCAGUUAACGCAAUAAGUGCUCCGCCUGGGGAGUACGGUGGCAACACUAAAACUCAAAGGAAUUGACGGGG